CAGAAUAGGAGUACCGCGUCAAGUGCCGGCGGAUGGGAAGUGGCCGCCGGACGAAAAGGCAGCUGUCUUGCGGUGGUGCUCCGCUUCCGCUGU
Molecule: non-coding RNA, 93 nt
Filed under: Lawsonibacter asaccharolyticus
Lineage: Bacteria; Bacillati; Bacillota; Clostridia; Eubacteriales; Oscillospiraceae
Description: THF riboswitch
Rfam family: THF (Tetrahydrofolate) riboswitch aptamer
About the family: THF riboswitch presents a pseudoknot that joins P1-P2 and the loop of P3 and two THF binding.
Source: RNAcentral